RNAcentral lists this ribosomal RNA (2337 nucleotides) under Oocystis sp. KMMCC 549. RNAcentral's name for it is "bacterial SSU rRNA". It matches the Rfam family "Eukaryotic small subunit ribosomal RNA", at positions 461 to 1535 of the family's 1831-position model. The record is from RNAcentral. Lineage: Eukaryota; Viridiplantae; Chlorophyta; Trebouxiophyceae; Chlorellales; Oocystaceae.
AGGGUAGUGACAAGAAAUAACAAUACCGGGCUCUUUCGAGUCUGGUAAUUGGAAUGAGAACAAUCUAAACCCCUUAUCGAGGAUCCAUUGGAGGGCAAGUCUGGUGAACGAUUCAACAAAAGAAAAAAAUGCUGUUGACGCCAGAGAUAGUAGGGCACCUUUUCGGUGUUAUGCCUGCUAGUCGAUGCAGCCGCUUAUUUGAUCGGGCUGGCUGCCGGCGAGAUGACCUGGAACGGGGAAGGCCUUCACCCUCCACCCAAUGGAGGACUGGUUGAUCCCGUGGCGAGCCUGUAAAGAGCGAUCUUUACGAGGCCGUCGUAACGCACGGUAAGGCAUCGGCUCACCUCAAGAUUAUGAGUGGGCUUAAGGGACGUGCUAAACCCAUCCGAUGAUAAAGGAUGCUCUGACCAUUAGCUCCCGAUCAGCAAAGGGUCAAGGGGGACGAAAGUGUUUGGAGGAAAUGCCAAACACUGUCCGGUAUCUUGCGACCUGAAAAUGUACUUCAGCAAGCAAGAACAUUGGCCAGCAGCCGCGGUAAUUCCAGCUCCAAUAGCGUAUAUUUAAGUUGCUGCAGUUAAAAAGCUCGUAGUCGGUUUUCGGGCGGGUUGCGCCGGUCUGCCUUUGGUAUGCACUGGCGUGACCCGCUUUUCUGUCGGGGACGUGCUGCUGGGCUUCACUGUCCGGCACACGGAGUCGACGCUGUUACCUUGAGUAAAUUGGAGUGUUCAAAGCAGGCAUACGCUCUGAACAUAUUAGCAUGGAAUAACGAUAUAGGACUCUGGCCUAUUCGUUGGUCUGUGGGGACCGGAGUAACGACCAAUGGGGGCAGUCGGGGGGCAUUCGUAUUUCGUUGUCAGAGGUGAAAUUCUUGGAUUUACGAAAGACGAACUGCUGCGAAAGCGUUUGCCAAGGAUGCUUUCGUUCGAUCAAGAACGAAAGUUGGGGGCUCGAAGACGAUUAGAUACCGUCCUAGUCUCAACCAUAAACGAUGCCGACUAGGGAUCGGCGGAUGUUCUUUCGAUGACUCCGCCGGCACCUCAUGAGAAAUCAAAGUGUUUGGGUUCCGGGGGGAGUAUGGUCGCAAGGCUGAAACUUAAAGGAAUUGACGGAAGGGCACCACCAGGCGUUAAUUGCUCUAGCGCAAGCGGCCUUGAAAAGAGCGCCGCUAGUCUCUCUAUGAAGAGGCGACACCGUCAAAUUGCCGGAAACUCCUGCUACGCCAGCGGUACCGCCCUCGAGCUGAAAGGCUCGCAGGACACCUCGGUGAAAAUCGAGGGCAUGGUAAAAAUCCGUUUGGAUAGGGACAAUCGGCAGCCAAGCCCUAACGUCUUCGGACCAUGGGUGCAGUUCACAGACUAAAUGGCGGUGGGUUGGCUUCAGAUGAAGCCGGCUUAAGAUAUAGUCGGGCCGCUCCACAAGGAGAGCCUGAGGGAGAAUCCGGCGACAGUCGGGGAGAGCCCUCAGGGAGUGAAUUAAUAGUCGGUGCAGCAAUGUACUCGACGGCCAGUGUGCCUCUCACUCGGACCAACCGGGAGCCUGUGGCUUAAUUUGACUCAACACGGGAAAACUUACCAGGUCCAGACAUAGUGAGGAUUGACAGAUUGAGAGCUCUUUCUUGAUUCUAUGGGUUAAAUACCACUAGCCCAUGAGAGCGGUGCGAAAGCACGCAGCUAGUUUCUGCUCGGCCGCUUUUGCGAGGCCGAGUGGGAAGCGAGACCGUCGAAUUGCGGGAAAGUCCUUAGAGCCCAAACUACCAAGCUGUCAGCCGAAAGGCGCAGUGGCCAGGUUAACAACCUCGGGUAUGGUAAAAAUGUUUGGGAUUGGAUAAUCCGCAGCCAAGCUCCUAAGGGCCAAAAGCCUAUGGAGAAGGUUCAGAGACUAAGUGGCGGUCGGUCCCUAAGUUCUUGUUACAUGCGAAUAUCUAUUGUCAUCAUCAGAAUCAGACAUUGUAAACGCUCGAGGGUAACAAGAAUGAAAGUGGCUUAAGAUAUAGUCCGGCUCUGUCGAGAGACAGCCUCAGGACGAAAGCUCACAGCAUGAGCAGGAGCCUGAGGGGGAGACACGAGACCCGUGUUUCCUAGAGUACCCGGGUGGUGCAUGGCCGUUCUUAGUUGGUGGGUUGCCUUGUCAGGUUGAUUCCGGUAACGAACGAGACCUCCGCCUGCUAAAUAGUCCAACCCGGUUUUCCGGGUUGCAGACUUCUUAGAGGGACUAUCUGCGUCUAGCAGAUGGAAGCAGGAGGCAAUAACAGGUCUGUGAUGCCCUUAGAUGUUCUGGGCCGCACACGCGCUACACUGACGCGAUCAACAAGCCUAGCCUGGCCAGAGUCCUGUAUCU